AUACGGAGGGUGCGAGCGUUGUUCGGAAUUACUGGGCGUAAAGCGCGUGUAGGCGGUUUGUUAAGUCUGAUGUGAAACGCCCCGGGCUCAACCUGGGAAGUGCAUUGGAUACUGGCAGACUUGAAGUACGGGAGAGGGCAGUGGAAUUCCUGGUGUAGGAGUAGAAAUCCGUAGAUAUCAGGAGGACACCGGUGGCGAAGGCGGCUGCCUGGACCGAUAUUGACGCUGAGACGCGAAAGCGUGGGUAGC
This 249-nucleotide ribosomal RNA is filed under the name uncultured bacterium. Its description in RNAcentral is "partial 16S ribosomal RNA". It matches the Rfam family "Bacterial small subunit ribosomal RNA", at positions 523 to 769 of the family's 1533-position model. The record is from RNAcentral.